UAAUGUCUGGGAAACUGCCUGAUGGAGGGGGGUAACUACUGGAAACGGUAGCUAAUACCGCAUAACGUCGCAAGACCAAAUGGGGGACCUUCGGGCCUCAUGCCAUCAGAUGUGCCCAGAUGGGAUUAGCUAGUAGGUGGGGUAAUGGCUCACCUAGGCGACGAUCCCUAGCUGGUCUGAGAGGAUGACCAGCCACACUGGAACUGAGACACGGUCCAG
This 219-nucleotide ribosomal RNA is filed under the name uncultured bacterium. RNAcentral describes it as "partial 16S ribosomal RNA". It matches the Rfam family "Bacterial small subunit ribosomal RNA", at positions 111 to 334 of the family's 1533-position model. The record is from RNAcentral.